UGGAGGUAGUGACAAUAAAUCACAAUGCGGAACAAUGUUUUGCAAUUGGAUUGAGAACAACGUACAAACCUUAUCGAUAAACAAUUGGAGGGCAAGUCUGGUGCCAGCAGCCGCGGUAAUUCCAGCUCCAAUAGCGUAUAUUAACGUUGUUGCAGUUAAAAAGCUCGUAGUUGAAAUGAAGGGUAGUUGUGUAAUGAAUACAUUCGUGUAUUUUGUUAUUCUACUACCCUCCUUCUAAAUUCGAUAUAUGAGUAUUAAUUUACUUGUAUAUGGUUUUAGACCUUUACUGUGAGAAAAUUAGAGUGUUCAAAGCAGGCAUUUGCUUGAAUAUAUUAGCAUGGAAUAAUCAUGUAUGAUUUUCAUGAUGUAUUUGAUUGGUUUGGUUCAUGAGAAUAAGAUUAAAAGGGACAGUUGGGGGUAUUCAUAUUCAAUAGCCCGAGGAUGAAAUUCUCGGAUUUAUGGAAGAUGAACAAGUGC
This 477-nucleotide ribosomal RNA is filed under the name Blastocystis sp. subtype 3. RNAcentral's name for it is "bacterial SSU rRNA". It matches the Rfam family "Eukaryotic small subunit ribosomal RNA", at positions 459 to 946 of the family's 1831-position model. Lineage: Eukaryota; Bigyra; Opalinata; Blastocystidae. The record is from RNAcentral.